ACUCAAAUGAAUUGACGGGGGCCCGCACAAGCGGUGGAGCAUGUGGUUUAAUUCGACGCAACGCGCAGAACCUUACCCAGACUUGACAUCCUUGGAAGCCUGUAGAGAUACGGGUGUGCCCGCAAGGGAACCAGGAGACAGGUGCUGCAUGGCUGUCGUCAGCUCGUGUCGUGAGAUGUUGGGUUAAGUCCCGCAACGAGCGCAACCCCCGUCUUCAGUUGCCAGCAUUCAGUUGGGCACUCUGGAGAGACUGCCGGUGUCAAGCCGGAGGAAGGUGGGGAUGACGUCAAGUCCUCAUGGCCUUUAUGUCUGGGGCUACACACGUGCUACAAUGGUCGGUACAAAGGGUAGCGAAAGCGCGAGCUGAAGCCAAUCCCAGAAAACCGACCCCAGUUCGGAUCGAAGUCUGCAACUCGACUUCGUGAAGUCGGAAUCGCUAGUAAUCGCGGAUCAGAACGCCGCGGUGAAUACGUUCCCGGGCCUUGUACACACCGCCCGU
RNAcentral lists this ribosomal RNA (499 nucleotides) under uncultured bacterium. Its description in RNAcentral is "partial 16S ribosomal RNA". It matches the Rfam family "Bacterial small subunit ribosomal RNA", at positions 899 to 1397 of the family's 1533-position model. The record is from RNAcentral.